RNAcentral lists this ribosomal RNA (1372 nucleotides) under uncultured bacterium. RNAcentral's name for it is "bacterial SSU rRNA". It matches the Rfam family "Bacterial small subunit ribosomal RNA", at positions 28 to 1381 of the family's 1533-position model. The record is from RNAcentral.
GAUGAACGCUGGCGGCGUGCCUAAUACAUGCAAGUCGAGCGAACGGACGAGAAGCUUGCUUCUCUGAUGUUAGCGGCGGACGGGUGAGUAACACGUGGAUAACCUACCUAUAAGACUGGGAUAACUUCGGGAAACCGGAGCUAAUACCGGAUAAUAUUUUGAACCGCAUGGUUCAAAAGUGAAAGACGGUCUUGCUGUCACUUAUAGAUGGAUCCGCGCUGCAUUAGCUAGUUGGUAAGGUAACGGCUUACCAAGGCAACGAUGCAUAGCCGACCUGAGAGGGUGAUCGGCCACACUGGAACUGAGACACGGUCCAGACUCCUACGGGAGGCAGCAGUAGGGAAUCUUCCGCAAUGGGCGAAAGCCUGACGGAGCAACGCCGCGUGAGUGAUGAAGGUCUUCGGAUCGUAAAACUCUGUUAUUAGGGAAGAACAUAUGUGUAAGUAACUGUGCACAUCUUGACGGUACCUAAUCAGAAAGCCACGGCUAACUACGUGCCAGCAGCCGCGGUAAUACGUAGGUGGCAAGCGUUAUCCGGAAUUAUUGGGCGUAAAGCGCGCGUAGGCGGUUUUUUAAGUCUGAUGUGAAAGCCCACGGCUCAACCGUGGAGGGUCAUUGGAAACUGGAAAACUUGAGUGCAGAAGAGGAAAGUGGAAUUCCAUGUGUAGCGGUGAAAUGCGCAGAGAUAUGGAGGAACACCAGUGGCGAAGGCGACUUUCUGGUCUGUAACUGACGCUGAUGUGCGAAAGCGUGGGGAUCAAACAGGAUUAGAUACCCCGGUAGUCCACGCCGUAAACGAUGAGUGCUAAGUGUUAGGGGGUUUCCGCCCCUUAGUGCUGCAGCUAACGCAUUAAGCACUCCGCCUGGGGAGUACGACCGCAAGGUUGAAGCUCAAAGGAAUUGACGGGGACCCGCACAAGCGGUGGAGCAUGUGGUUUAAUUCGAAGCAACGCGAAGAACCUUACCAAAUCUUGACAUCCUUUGACAACUCUAGAGAUAGAGCUUUCCCCUUCGGGGGACAAAGUGACAGGUGGUGCAUGGUUGUCGUCAGCUCGUGUCGUGAGAUGUUGGGUUAAGUCCCGCAACGAGCGCAACCCUUAAGCUUAGUUGCCAUCAUUAAGUUGGGCACUCUAAGUUGACUGCCGGUGACAAACCGGAGGAAGGUGGGGAUGACGUCAAAUCAUCAUGCCCCUUAUGAUUUGGGCUACACACGUGCUACAAUGGACAAUACAAAGGGCAGCGAAACCGCGAGGUCAAGCAAAUCCCAUAAAGUUGUUCUCAGUUCGGAUUGUAGUCUGCAACUCGACUACAUGAAGCUGGAAUCGCUAGUAAUCGUAGAUCAGCAUGCUACGGUGAAUACGUUCCCGGGUCU